UGAGGAAUAUUGGUCAAUGGACGCAAGUCUGAACCAGCCAAGUAGCGUGCAGGAUGACGGCCCUAUGGGUUGUAAACUGCUUUUAUAUGGGGAUAAAGUGGGGAACGUGUUCCCUUUUGCAGGUACCAUAUGAAUAAGGACCGGCUAAUUCCGUGCCAGCAGCCGCGGUAAUACGGAAGGUUCGGGCGUUAUCCGGAUUUAUUGGGUUUAACGGGAGCGUAGGCCGUUUGGUAAGCGUGUUGUGAAAUAUACCGGCUCAACCGGUGGCUUGCAGCGCGAACUGGUCGACUUGAGUAUGCAGGAAGUAGGCGGAAUUCAUGGUGUAGCGGUGAAAUGCUUAGAUAUCAUGACGAACUCCGAUUGCGCAGGCAGCUUACUGUAGCAUAACUGACGCUGAUGCUCGAAAGUGCGGGUAUCAAACAGG
RNAcentral lists this ribosomal RNA (424 nucleotides) under Verrucomicrobiota bacterium. Its description in RNAcentral is "Verrucomicrobia bacterium partial 16S ribosomal RNA". It matches the Rfam family "Bacterial small subunit ribosomal RNA", at positions 355 to 776 of the family's 1533-position model. The record is from RNAcentral. Lineage: Bacteria; Pseudomonadati; Verrucomicrobiota.